Long non-coding RNA from Chlorocebus sabaeus (green monkey), 1659 nucleotides. RefSeq lists it as uncharacterized. The record is from RefSeq and is a predicted model, not a curated record. Lineage: Eukaryota; Metazoa; Chordata; Mammalia; Primates; Cercopithecidae.
UCACCGUGUUAGCCAGGAUGUCUCAAUCUCCUGACCUCGUGAUCCACCCGCCUCAGCCUCCCAAAGUGCUGGGAUUAUAGGCGUGAGCCACUGCGCCCGGCCCCAAGCUGCUUCUUUCUCGGCUCUCUGCUUUGCAGACUCGAAUGACCUCAUGGUCCAAGAUGGCGGCGUCCAAGUUCCAGCAGCGAGACGGAGAAAGGAACAAAGAAAAAGAAAGCAAAGAUACCCACCCGAGACUUGACACUUCCGUUUAUAUCCUAUUGGCCAGAACGUAGUCACGUGACCUUACUUAAACGACAAGGGAGGCUUGGAAAGGGGAAGAGUGUCAAGCCAGAGGCCCUGCAAGGAGCAGAAGGCGUGGUUAAGAAGCGUGUUGGGAGAGACUGUUCCUUCGCAGCAUGCGAGAAUUAUAUGAAAUCAUCGCUGAGACCUCAUUUACUUGGAGUGAUUUAUUUUGGAGAAAACCAGAUGUUUGGGAUGGCUGAUAACGCAUGAAAAGCUGCAUUCUCUGCUGUUCGUUUUCUAAGGGUGUGUUAGGCAACAAUGACAAAUAUUAAGGUACCAUGUUACUCUGUCUUACUGACAUGCCUGUGACUGAUCUUUUUUAUCAGUUAGUUGAAAACACACACAAAGAAAUUUAAUAAAAAGCUUAAAAUGUGUGCACAGUUCAAGAAGUUAAUUUAGAUUUAGAUUGCUAACCUAUCCUUUGUGUCUAAAAGUUUUUAACAAAAACCUCACACACUAAUAUUACACACGCGCGCACACACACACACUCCCACAAUCUGUUGGAAAUAUUUCUAAAGGGCCACUUUGGGUGAGGAAAAAACACGUUUUGGCUGCUUGGUUUGAAUAAGUGGUAUAAUUACUAUGUGUCUAUUUUUAAAAUUCCAAUUCUUAUUGAAUUAGGCACAUGGACCCUGAUGAAGUUGCAGGAAACAGCUGAACUACUUGUGUGGCUAAUUCCAGAAAUUCAAAGAAAAUGCAAACUUGAGCAUGUCACAUAACAUGUUGAUGGCAACAUGCAGAAGGGAGAUGGCCUUGGCCAUUGACUUGAUUUCUCUCCUUGUAUCCAGAUGAUCCUGCAGGGGAAAUGUGAUGAUUCUCCAAAAAUUGAGCUGGGAGAGUCCAAGAUCCACACCCAGGGCCCACCAGGGCCACCUGCCCCCUCAACUCUGCCACAACUGUGGGUUCAAUCCCGGCACUGGGAGAUUUCCCAUCCAAUGAAAGAAGCCUUCCAGUCCACCCUGGGGCUGCAGACCAGGCAACCCAAGGUACAGCUGAGCAAUGAUUCACUCGCCAGCCUUAGACUUAUUUCUGCCCCUCUGGCACUGCUGGCCGUACCUGAGUCUUCAAAUUAUGUUCUCCACGUGUUUUGAAUGCAGGCAGUGCCUCAGUGCCAAGUGCAGGCUGUACUUUGCCAUCCAAGGAUAACAGUAUCAUGGGGACAGCUUCUCUCAUCUUACACGGAACUAAAAAUAAGACAAUCUUUCAGCAUUCAGAGAUAGAAACUUCCAGACUUUUCUGAGCAAAACCUUAUUUUUGAUUUCCAGUACUAGAAAUAGAAAAUGGUGGGCAGAUCAUCUGUCUCCACCAAAGGUCAGUUCUUUUGCUUUACGUCUUUUGAUGAAAGAGUGUAAUACAUUAAAAUAUGUAUCUCCA